RNAcentral lists this ribosomal RNA (253 nucleotides) under uncultured bacterium. RNAcentral's name for it is "partial 16S ribosomal RNA". It matches the Rfam family "Bacterial small subunit ribosomal RNA", at positions 524 to 776 of the family's 1533-position model. The record is from RNAcentral.
UACGUAGGGUGCAAGAGCUGUCCGGAUUUAUUGGGUUUAAAGGGUGCGUAGGUGGCUUUUUAAGUCAUGGGUGAAAGCCCGCAGCUCAACUGUGGAAUUGCCUGUGAUACUGAGGAGCUUGAGUGCGGUUGAGGCAGCUGGAAUUGGUGGUGUAGCGGUGAAAUGCAUAGAUACCACCAGGAACACCGAUUGCGAAGGCAGGUUGCUAAGCCGUAACUGACACUGAGGCAGGAAAGCGUGGGGAGCAAACAGG